RNAcentral lists this ribosomal RNA (253 nucleotides) under uncultured bacterium. Its description in RNAcentral is "partial 16S ribosomal RNA". It matches the Rfam family "Bacterial small subunit ribosomal RNA", at positions 524 to 776 of the family's 1533-position model. The record is from RNAcentral.
UACAGAGGUCUCAAGCGUUGUUCGGAAUCACUGGGCGUAAAGGGUGCGUAGGCGGCGCGGAAAGUUGGGUGUGAAAUCCCUCGGCUCAACCGAGGAACUGCGCCCAAAACUACAGUGCUUGAGGGAGAUAGAGGUGAGCGGAACUUAGGGUGGAGCGGUGAAAUGCGUUGAUAUCCUAAGGAACGCCAGGGGCGAAAGCGGCUCACUGGGUCUCUUCUGACGCUGAGACGCGAAAGCGUGGGGAGCGAACAGG